GCCAAAUGGAACCGCCUUCAUCCUCUGCCUGUGCUGAGCCCCAUGUCAAGUUGUUAAAUGUUUUUGUUCUGUAGCUCCGUCCCACUCCUUUUUGAUGAUAUUUACAAAAGAAAGCAAGCUGCUUGGAAGGUCUGGACGUGAGGGAAAGGGCAUGAAGACAAGGCUGAUAGUGGGGAGUGCUAGAGGCUUGGUUGUUCCCCUGGAUAGGACCCCAGAGUCUCUCUAGUUAAAGGGCCCCUAGGUUCUCCCCAGCUCCCACCCUCUCCUCCAGCCAUGGUGAUGGCAGAGGCAGAAGAAAACUUUGAGCCCAGUUCUCACAGGAAAGGAAAACUCUCAUGGGCUUUGCAGAGAAGGUUCCACCUUACGCUCGUACAUUGUCUUUACCAUGUUCUAGGAUAUCACAUUCAACAGGACAAAAAAAUGUAAAAUACUUGAAUGAGCUUGUAUUAUAACAUUAAUAUUAUUGAGAGUGUCUGCUUCCCAGGCUGAAGUGAUUCAUUCAUUAUUCUGGUCCUGCUCUAGUCCUUUGUAAUUGGUGGUAAUUAUUAUGCUUUUCUUUUUAAUACAAAAAAAUGUAUAAAAAUAAAAACUUGAAAAGGC
This 600-nucleotide long non-coding RNA is filed under the name Rattus norvegicus (Norway rat). RNAcentral describes it as "long non-coding RNA NONRATT004311". The record is from RNAcentral. Lineage: Eukaryota; Metazoa; Chordata; Mammalia; Rodentia; Muridae.